RNAcentral lists this transfer RNA (74 nucleotides) under Podarcis lilfordi (Lilford's wall lizard). It matches the Rfam family "tRNA". From Rfam's summary of the family: Transfer RNA (tRNA) molecules are approximately 80 nucleotides in length. Lineage: Eukaryota; Metazoa; Chordata; Lepidosauria; Squamata; Lacertidae. The record is from Rfam by way of RNAcentral.
GCCUAGAUACCUCAGAUGGUUAGAGCAUGGUGCUGAUAACACUGAGGUUGCAGGUUCUAUCCCUGUAUGGGGCA